Long non-coding RNA from Hyla sarda, 582 nucleotides. RefSeq lists it as uncharacterized. The record is from RefSeq and is a predicted model, not a curated record. The transcript has 3 exons. NCBI's taxonomy places the organism in Eukaryota, Metazoa, Chordata, Amphibia, Anura, Hylidae.
ACCAAACUACCUUUAUACCUGGCUCCCUUACUACCUACUUACAUACCUGGCUACCUAGCUACCUUCAUACCUGGCUACCUAGCUACCUUCAUACCUGGCCUACAUACCUGGCUACCUAACUACCUGCCCUUUUCUGUGCAGGACACAAAGAGGGGCAUUAUUACAAUUCAAGGCAUAUAGAUGGGCAGAUUGUGUAGAGGAGCUUACAAGUACAGCUCUCCUUCUCACACCUGUGCUAGAGGGCCGGCACCAUCUCCGGCUUCAAAUACUGGCAAAACAAAACUUGUCCAGCAUCCAAGGUGUGGAAAACACUUUUUGCUUUAUUGAUGGAUCAUUUCAAAAAGAGGUGACAACAGAUGUAAAAAGAUGAGUUUUGGCUGAAAGAAGUCGACAUGGCGGUCUCAUCGGGACUGGGAAGAAAAGGAAAGAGGACGCCGCCAAUCAGAAAAAAACGUCUAGAAUGAUGGAGCUCCCGGUCAUCCCCAGGUCACAAUGUAACCCUCACCCCAGGACGAUGGACACUCUUGGACUUACCAGUUGACCCGAUCGACCACGUGAUGUUGAGGUUGAAGUUAUUCGAAG